RNAcentral lists this microRNA precursor (197 nucleotides) under Oryza sativa Japonica Group (Japanese rice). RNAcentral's name for it is "MIR812 microRNA precursor family". It matches the Rfam family "MIR812 microRNA precursor family". The record is from Rfam by way of RNAcentral. Lineage: Eukaryota; Viridiplantae; Streptophyta; Magnoliopsida; Poales; Poaceae.
UUUAAGUGCAAGCAUAAGUUUCUGCACCCAAGUCCAUCUUAAUUGAAUUUUUUUAUAACUAGUAUUUUUAUUAUUAUGAGAUGAUAAAACAUGAAUAGUACUUUAUAAGUGACAUAUGUUUUUAAUUUUUUCAUUUUUUUUAAAAAAAUAAAACGUACAGUUAAAGUUGUGUACGAAAAAUCAUGGCUGCACUUAAA